AUUGAACGCUGGCGGCAGGCUUAACACAUGCAAGUCGAGCGGUAACAGAGAGAAGCUUGCUUCUCUCCUGACGAGCGGCGGACGGGUGAGUAAUGCCUAGGAAUCUGCCUAGUAGUGGGGGAUAACUUGCCGAAAGGUAAGCUAAUACCGCAUACGUCCUACGGGAGAAAGGAGGGGACCUUCGGGCCUUUCGCUAUUAGAUGAGCCUAGGUCGGAUUAGUUAGUUGGUGAGGUAAUGGAUCACAAAGACCGCGAUCCGUAACUGGUCUGAGAGGAUGAUCAGUCACACUGGAACUGAGACACGGUCCAGACUCCUACGGGAGGCAGCAGUGGGGAAUAUUGGACAAUGGGGGGAACCCUGAUCCAGCCAUGCCGCGUGUGUGAAGAAGGUCUUAGGAUUGUAAAGCACUUUAAGUUGGGAGGAAGAGCAGUUAACUAAUAUUUGACUGUUUUGACGUUACCGACAGAAUAAGCACCGGCUAACUUCGUGCCAGCCGCCGCGGUAA
RNAcentral lists this ribosomal RNA (506 nucleotides) under uncultured bacterium. RNAcentral describes it as "partial 16S ribosomal RNA". It matches the Rfam family "Bacterial small subunit ribosomal RNA", at positions 30 to 523 of the family's 1533-position model. The record is from RNAcentral.